This 115-nucleotide ribosomal RNA is filed under the name Mus pahari (shrew mouse). Lineage: Eukaryota; Metazoa; Chordata; Mammalia; Rodentia; Muridae. The record is from RNAcentral.
GUCUACAGCCAUACCACCCUGAACGCACCUGAUCUCGUCUGAUCUCGGAAGCUAAGCAGGGUCGGGCCUGGUUAGUACUUGGAUGGGAGACCUCCUGGAAAUACUGAGUGCUGCU